Molecule: ribosomal RNA, 301 nt
Filed under: uncultured bacterium
Lineage: Bacteria
Description: bacterial SSU rRNA
Rfam family: Bacterial small subunit ribosomal RNA
Source: RNAcentral
AUGAACGCUGGCGGCGUGCCUAAUACAUGCAAGUCGGACGCAAUGCUUCGGCAUUGAGUGGCGAACGGGUGAGUAAUACAUAAGCAACCUGCCCCUGUGAGGGGGAUAACUGCUGGAAACGGCAGCUAAGACCGCAUAGGCAUACAUGACGCAUGUCGAGUAUGUUAAAUAUCCUACGGGAUAGCACAGGGAUGGGCUUAUGACGCAUUAGCUAGCUGGUGAGGUAGAGGCUCACCAGGGCGACGAUGCGUAGCCGGCCUGAGAGGGUGGACGGCCACACUGGGACUGAGACACGGCCCAG